GAUGAAGAACGUAGCGAAAUGCGAUAAGUAAUGUGAAUUGCAGAAUUCAGUGAAUCAUCGAAUCUUUGAACGCACAUUGCGCCCCCUGGUAUUCCGGGGGGCAUGCCUGUUCGAGCGUCAUUACAACCCUCAAGCUCUGCUUGGUAUUGGGCCCCGCCAGUUCUGGCGGGCCCUAAAGUCAGUGGCGGUGCCUUCCGGCUCCGAGCGUAGUAAUUCUUCUCGCUCUGGAGACCCGGUUGUGUGCUUGCCAACAACCCCCAAUUUUUUAAGGUUGACCUCGGAUCAGGUAGGGAUACCAGCUGAACUUAAGCAUACAAUAAGCGGAGGA
RNAcentral lists this unclassified non-coding RNA (328 nucleotides) under soil metagenome. RNAcentral describes it as "partial contains 5.8S ribosomal RNA, internal transcribed spacer 2, and large subunit ribosomal RNA". The stretch from base 1 to 120 matches the Rfam family "5.8S ribosomal RNA", at positions 35 to 154 of the family's 154-position model. The record is from RNAcentral.